GGGCCCGCACAAGCAGUGGAGCAUGUGGUUUAAUUCGAUGCAACGCGAAGAACCUUACCAGGCCUUGACAUCCUCGGAACUUUCUAGAGAUAGAUUGGUGCCUUCGGGAACCGAGUGACAGGUGCUGCAUGGCUGUCGUCAGCUCGUGUCGUGAGAUGUUGGGUUAAGUCCCGUAACGAGCGCAACCCUUGUCCUUAGUUGCCAGCACAUUAUGGUGGGAACUCUAUGGAAACUGCCCGUGAUAAGCGGGAGGAAGGUGUGGAUGACGUCAAGUCCUCAUGGCCCUUACGGGUUGGGCUACACACGUGCUACAAUGGUAGUGACAAUGGGUUAAUCCCAAAAAGCUAUCUCAGUUCGGAUUGUCGUCUGCAACUCGACGGCAUG
This 384-nucleotide ribosomal RNA is filed under the name uncultured bacterium. RNAcentral's name for it is "bacterial SSU rRNA". It matches the Rfam family "Bacterial small subunit ribosomal RNA", at positions 917 to 1322 of the family's 1533-position model. The record is from RNAcentral.